UACGAAGGGGGCUAGCGUUGCUCGGAAUCACUGGGCGUAGAGGGCGCGUAGGCGGGCCGCCAAGUCUGAGGUGAAAGCCCACGGCUCAACCGUGGAAGUGCCUUGGAUACUGGCGGCCUCGAGGGAGGUAGGGGCGUGCGGAACUUCCGGUGGAGCGGUGAAAUGCGUAGAGAUCGGAAGGAACGCCGGUGGCGAAAGCGGCACGCUGGACCUCUUCUGACGCUGAGGCGCGAAAGCCAGGGGAGCAAACGGG
RNAcentral lists this ribosomal RNA (253 nucleotides) under uncultured bacterium. RNAcentral's name for it is "partial 16S ribosomal RNA". It matches the Rfam family "Bacterial small subunit ribosomal RNA", at positions 524 to 776 of the family's 1533-position model. The record is from RNAcentral.